AGAGUUUGAUCAUGGCUCAGGAUGAACGCUGGCGGCGUGCCUAAUACAUGCAAGUCGAGCGAACAGACGAGGAGCUUGCUCCUUUGACGUUAGCGGCGGACGGGUGAGUAACACGUAGGUAACCUACCUAUAAGACUGGGAUAACUUCGGGAAACCGGAGCUAAUACCAGAUAAUAUUUCGAACCGCAUGGUUCGAUAGUGAAAGAUGGCUUUGCUAUCACUUAUAGAUGGACUUGCGCCGUAUUAGCUAGUUGGUAAGGUAACGGCUUACCAAGGCAACGAUACGUAGCCGACCUGAGAGGGUGAUCGGCCACACUGGAACUGAGACACGGUCCAGACUCCUACGGGAGGCAGCAGUAGGGAAUCUUCCGCAAUGGGCGAAAGCCUGACGGAGCAACGCCGCGUGAGUGAUGAAGGUCUUCGGAUCGUAAAACUCUGUUAUUAGGGAAGAACAAACGUGUAAGUAACUGUGCACGUCUUGACGGUACCUAAUCAGAAAGCCACGGCUAACUACGUGCCAGCAGCCGCGGUAAU
This 534-nucleotide ribosomal RNA is filed under the name uncultured bacterium. RNAcentral's name for it is "bacterial SSU rRNA". It matches the Rfam family "Bacterial small subunit ribosomal RNA", at positions 8 to 524 of the family's 1533-position model. The record is from RNAcentral.